GAGUUUGAUCCUGGCUCAGAUUGAACGCUGGCGGCAUGCCUUACACAUGCAAGUCGAACGGCAGCACGGGAGCAAUCCUGGUGGCGAGUGGCGAACGGGUGAGUAAUAUAUCGGAACGUGCCCAGUCGUGGGGGAUAACGCAGCGAAAGCUGUGCUAAUACCGCAUACGAUCUAUGGAUGAAAGCGGGGGACUCGCAAGGGCCUCGCGCGAUUGGAGCGGCCGAUAUCAGAUUAGGUAGUUGGUGUGGUAAAAGCGCACCAAGCCGACGAUCUGUAGCUGGUCUGAGAGGACGACCAGCCACACUGGAACUGAGACACGGUCCAGACUCCUACGGGAGGCAGCAGUGGGGAAUUUUGGACAAUGGGCGCAAGCCUGAUCCAGCAAUGCCGCGUGCAGGAUGAAGGCCUUCGGGUUGUAAACUGCUUUUGUACGGAACGAAACGGUCUGCUUUAAUACAGUGGGCUAAUGACGGUACCGUAAGAAUAAGCACCGGCUAACUACGUGCCAGCAGCCGCGGUAAUACGUAGGGUGCGAGCGUUAAUCGGAAUUACUGGGCGUAAAGCGUGCGCAGGCGGUUAUAUAAGACAGAUGUGAAAUCCCCGGGCUCAACCUGGGACCUGCAUUUGUGACUGUAUAGCUAGAGUACGGUAGAGGGGGAUGGAAUUCCGCGUGUAGCAGUGAAAUGCGUAGAUAUGCGGAGGAACACCGAUGGCGAAGGCAAUCCCCUGGACCUGUACUGACGCUCAUGCACGAAAGCGUGGGGAGCAAACAGGAUUAGAUACCCUGGUAGUCCACGCCCUAAACGAUGUCAACUGGUUGUUGGGUCUUCACUGACUCAGUAACGAAGCUAACGCGUGAAGUUGACCGCCUGGGGAGUACGGCCGCAAGGUUGAAACUCAAGGAAUUGACG
This 911-nucleotide ribosomal RNA is filed under the name uncultured bacterium. RNAcentral's name for it is "bacterial SSU rRNA". It matches the Rfam family "Bacterial small subunit ribosomal RNA", at positions 9 to 915 of the family's 1533-position model. The record is from RNAcentral.